Small nuclear RNA from Cricetulus griseus (Chinese hamster), 104 nucleotides. Lineage: Eukaryota; Metazoa; Chordata; Mammalia; Rodentia; Cricetidae. The record is from Ensembl.
AUGCUCACUUUGGCCUACAUAGUCUAAAAUUAGAAUUAUACAGAGUAGAUUAGUGUGGUCCCUGCACAAGGAUGACACUCAUGUGUGUAGUCUUCCAUACUUAA